GACCUCGUAGCUCAGCUAGUAGAGCGUACGCUGUACAAAAGCGUAGGCGGCGUCCAUGCGUGGGUUCGAAUCCCACCGAAGCUA
This 84-nucleotide transfer RNA is filed under the name Echinostoma caproni. It matches the Rfam family "tRNA". From Rfam's summary of the family: Transfer RNA (tRNA) molecules are approximately 80 nucleotides in length. Their secondary structure includes four short double-helical elements and three loops (D, anti-codon, and T loops). Lineage: Eukaryota; Metazoa; Platyhelminthes; Trematoda; Plagiorchiida; Echinostomatidae. The record is from Rfam by way of RNAcentral.